AUGGCUUCUUUCGUCUCUCCGACUUCGACUUCCUCGAUCGCCGGUCUCCUCCUGUUCGUCAUCGCGUCGUUCCUUCAAGGGCUGGUGGCGGCGGCCGGCGUGACGUUCACGUUCACGAACCGGUGCGGCGGCACGGUGUGGCCGGGGGUGCUGGCCAACUCGGGAAGCGCGCCGCUGGAGACGACGGGGUUCGCGCUGGGCCCCGGGGAGGCGCGGUCGCUGGCGGCGCCGGCGGGGUGGUCGGGCCGGUUCUGGGCGCGCACGGGGUGCGCCUUCGACGGCACCUCCGGCGGCAAGUGCGCCACGGGCGACUGCGGCAGCGGCGAGGCGGAGUGCCACGGCUCCGGCGCGGCGCCCCCCGCCACGCUCGUGGAGUUCACCCUCGGCGGCGGCGGCGGCGGCAAGGAGGACUACUACGACGUGAGCCUGGUGGACGGGUACAACGUGCCGGUGGUGGUGGAGCCGUCCGCGGCGGGGUGCCCGGCCACGGGGUGCCUCGUGGACCUCAACGAGCGGUGCCCGCCGGAGCUCCGGGCCGCGGAGGGCUGCCGGAGCGCGUGCGAGGCGUUCGACCGGCCGGAGUACUGCUGCAGCGGCGCGUUCGGCGGGCCGGACACCUGCCGCCCGUCCGCCUACUCGCAGGCGUUCAAGGCCGCCUGCCCGCGCGCCUACAGCUACGCCUACGACGACGCCACCUCCACCUUCACCUGUGCCGCCUCCGCCGCCUACUCCGUCACCUUCUGCCCCCGCGCCGGCACCUCCAGCAGCCUCAAGUCGAGCAACGACCCGUUGCCGAGGCCGGGCGACGUGGUCGCCGGCGCGCAGGUCGCGGCGGACACGUGGCUGGCGAGCCUGGCGACCGGCGAGAGCGACGCUGCCGCGGCCAGGACGGCUGCGGCGGCGGCGCUCCGAGCCGCACUGGCGGCGGCGGCCGUGGCCUUGCUUGUGUCAUCACUCUAG
This 960-nucleotide ribosomal RNA is filed under the name Triticum aestivum (bread wheat). RNAcentral's name for it is "partial small subunit ribosomal RNA". Lineage: Eukaryota; Viridiplantae; Streptophyta; Magnoliopsida; Poales; Poaceae. The record is from RNAcentral.